Heterocephalus glaber (naked mole-rat) is the source of this 1337-nucleotide long non-coding RNA. The record is from Ensembl. NCBI's taxonomy places the organism in Eukaryota, Metazoa, Chordata, Mammalia, Rodentia, Bathyergidae.
CGCGUUCUCGCCAGGCAGGUUACACAACAGCAGACUGCAACGGAAUCAGGUUCCACCGAAGGAAAUCACCGCCUUCAUGGCGCUUCGAUUACACCUGAGAUAAGAGGAGGGGAAGGCAAGAAGAUAGCACAGCCUGCCGGGCAGUGGAGGUGCUGGGCCGCGAAAAUGGCUUUAGUCUGUGCAGGGACCGGAAAAGUAAGGAGUAUUCUUCCUGUUUCGAGGACGAGGAAUCCCAGGCUUAGGGGAGAUUGGUCAACGACCUUUGAAUUGAGGCCAUUCGACUUCAGAGGCCAGGUUUCUAAACCUGGUCCUGCUACCCCUGAGCUGUAGAAACUGGACCAAGGUGGCUCGGGUGUGUUGUGACUGGGUGCUGUUCAUUUGUAGAUGGUUGAGGGCCCUCCCUCUGGAUGAGCAUGACACCUGGAGAGCUUGUAAGGUCUCAUGGAAAUACUGCACUUCAAGUUAUUUAAGAAGGGUCCGAAGGACGUCCAGCCUCUUGAAGUGAUAAUCAAAUGCAAUCGGACUUCCUUAGAAGCAGCAAAGUUACAGUCGUGGACCAUAUCUGGCAGGGCUUCCAGACUUACAGCACAUGCCAGGCAUAAUUGAAUGUUACAAGAAUAGGAAGUCCUCUCCCAGAAUACUCCCCAUGACAGAUGGCAGAAUUACACCAGGAGAGACCCAGAAGAGGAACACAAGCAAGGGCGCCACAGGACGAUGUUUUCCUGCCUCCUCUUAAUUGCUGCUGGGAGAGUCCAGUCUUGAAUUAGUAUCUAAUCUGGACCGCUUUCCUUAAAGCUGAUUACUUGGAGGCCAGAAGAUGGCAGCUCUGGAGAACUACUGACAUGGCAUCUGAGCAUUUCUUUACUGAGGUGGCAUACCUUGCCCCAGAAAAAUCAGAAGCAUUUACAGUGCACAAAUAUACUAAGAGCCUUGCCAAGCCUCCAGAGAUGAACAGUAUAUGCCCUAGAUCUUCAAGGAGAUGCUGAACUCACUGGUACCACAGAGGAUGAGGGAAAAGAAAGAGUCCAAGGGAACAGAGAGAAAGACGAAUGUAAAAAUGUGCACUUAACAACUUCCAAAUUCUGAGACAACUGCCUUCACAGUUUCAACUGGAAAUACACCUUUACUAGUCCAGCAAUCUUCAAGGACUGGGCCAAGGAGAAAGAGCUCCUGGGAAUCACAAUUUUGCUGCUCAUCCUUUAAGAAACCCCAGUUUAAGUGGAAGUUAAUACAGAGAUUUCUCAGUCACAGAGUCAGCUUUUAAUAUGUGCAAAGUCUGUGUUGGUUUGGAAAACUUUGCCCUUGUAUCAAUAGCAGCUUUUGUAACCAACUUCAAU